Molecule: non-coding RNA, 189 nt
Organism: Oryza nivara
Lineage: Eukaryota; Viridiplantae; Streptophyta; Magnoliopsida; Poales; Poaceae
Source: Rfam
AAAAAGACAAACCCGUUUCCGUGUCCAACGUUUAACUGUUCGUCUUAUUUGAAAAAAUUAUGAAAAAAAAUUAAAAAGAUAAGUCACGCAUAAAAUAUUAAUCAUGUUUUAUCAUCUAACAACAAUGAAAAUAUGAAUUAUAAAAAAAUUUCAUAUAAGACGGACAGUUAAAAUUGGACACGCCUUUUU